GGGAUGACUCUCGGCAAUGGAUAUCUCAGCUCAUGCAUCGACGAAGAACAUAGCGAAAUGCGAUACAUGGUGUGAAUUGCAGAAUCCCGCGAACCAUUGAGUCUUUGAACGCAAGUUGCACCCGAGGCCAUUCGGUCGAGGGCACGCCUGCCUAGGCAUCAUGC
RNAcentral lists this ribosomal RNA (164 nucleotides) under Eremospatha wendlandiana. RNAcentral describes it as "5.8S ribosomal RNA". It matches the Rfam family "5.8S ribosomal RNA". Rfam says of the family: 5.8S ribosomal RNA (5.8S rRNA) is a component of the large subunit of the eukaryotic ribosome. It is transcribed by RNA polymerase I as part of the 45S precursor that also contains 18S and 28S rRNA. Functionally, it is thought that 5.8S rRNA may be involved in ribosome translocation. The record is from RNAcentral. Lineage: Eukaryota; Viridiplantae; Streptophyta; Magnoliopsida; Arecales; Arecaceae.